CAGCAGCCGCGGGAAUACCGAGGGUGCGAGCGUUAAUCGGAUUUACUGGGCGUAAAGCGUGCGUAGGCGGCUAAUUGAGUCGGAUGUGAAAUCCCCGAGCUUAACUUGGGAAUUGCAUUCGAUACUGGGAAGCUAGAGUAUGGGAGAGGAUGGUAGAAUUCCAGGUGUAGCGGUGAAAUGCGUAGAGAUCUGGAGGAAUACCGAUGGCGAAGGCAGCCAUCUGGCCUAAUACUGACGCUGAGGUACGAAAGCAUGGGGAGCAAACAGGAUUAGAUACCCGCGUAGUCCCUGUCUCUUAUAC
This 301-nucleotide ribosomal RNA is filed under the name uncultured bacterium. RNAcentral's name for it is "partial 16S ribosomal RNA". It matches the Rfam family "Bacterial small subunit ribosomal RNA", at positions 509 to 807 of the family's 1533-position model. The record is from RNAcentral.